GACGAACGCUGGCGGCGUGCCUAAUACAUGCAAGUAGAAUGCACAGUUUAUACCGUAGCUUGCUACACCAUAGACUGUGAGUUGCGAACGGGUGAGUAACGCGUAGGUAACCUGCCUGGUAGCGGGGGAUAACUAUUGGAAACGAUAGCUAAUACCGCAUAAUAUUGAUUAUUGCAUGAUAAUUGAUUGAAAGAUGCUAUUGCAUCACUACCAGAUGGACCUGCGUUGUAUUAGCUAGUAGGUGAGGUAACGGCUCACCUAGGCGACGAUACAUAGCCGACCUGAGAGGGUGAUCGGCCACACUGGGACUGAGACACGGCCCAGACUCCUACGGGAGGCAGCAGUAGGGAAUCUUCGGCAAUGGACGAAAGUCUGACCGAGCAACGCCGCGUGAGUGAAGAAGGUUUUCGGAUCGUAAAGCUCUGUUGUAAGAGAAGAACGGGUGUGAGAGUGGAAAGUUCACACUGUGACGGUAGCUUACCAGAAAGGGACGGCUAACUACGUG
Molecule: ribosomal RNA, 505 nt
Filed under: uncultured bacterium
Lineage: Bacteria
Description: partial 16S ribosomal RNA
Rfam family: Bacterial small subunit ribosomal RNA
Source: RNAcentral